RNAcentral lists this unclassified non-coding RNA (253 nucleotides) under uncultured Pirellulaceae bacterium. RNAcentral describes it as "contains 16S-23S intergenic spacer region". It matches the Rfam family "Bacterial small subunit ribosomal RNA", at positions 524 to 776 of the family's 1533-position model. Lineage: Bacteria; Pseudomonadati; Planctomycetota; Planctomycetia; Pirellulales; Pirellulaceae. The record is from RNAcentral.
GACAGAGGUGCCAAGCGUUAUUCGGAAUUACUGGGCUUAAAGGGUGCGUAGGCGGUGUAGUAAGUGCGGUGUGAAAGCCCACGGCUCAACCGUGGAACUGCGCUGCAUACUGCUAUGCUAGAGGGAGACAGGGGUAAGCGGAACAGAUGGUGGAGCGGUGAAAUGCGUUGAUAUCAUCUGGAACACCAGUGGCGAAAGCGGCUUACUGGGUCUCUUCUGACGCUGAGGCACGAAAGCUAGGGUAGCGAACGGG